This is a long non-coding RNA of Homo sapiens (human), 3172 nucleotides long. The record is from Ensembl. NCBI's taxonomy places the organism in Eukaryota, Metazoa, Chordata, Mammalia, Primates, Hominidae.
GCGGCGACUUGGCGGCGGGUGCCAUGCGUCUGGAGCUUCACAUUCUCUGCCCCCCACCCACCGCGCCGGCGCUCCCUUGUCACGCCUCGGGAAGCGCGCACCUGCCAAGCAGGAUGAAUAAUCUGAUAUCAUGUGAAAUGAGGAAAUAAGAAGCUUUCUGCUGACUUCAUUUUGACCCAGGGUCCAAAAGGUGAUGUAAUCCUGUGGCAAGAAGAUUCAAAACUGUGGACUAUCUUGCAAAAAAUACAAGAAGAUAUUGAAAGUUUUCAUGAGUGCCUACCACCUAAUCUCAAACACUAUCAUUCAUAUGUGCCUCAUUGAGCAAAUCUUUAAUGAGGAUCUAUAUGCCAGCAAUAUCUUUUGCUUGGGAGCAGAAACAGAAAGUACAUGAUGGACUUCAUUGAAGGAUGGAGAUUUGGAAGACAUGAAUGGAUGAAGAACCAAGUGCGUGAGGGCACCUAUCAGGAUUAUUGCUGAAAUCCUUAUGGAGUUAACUGGCUGAGAGGAAGGCAAGCAAGCGAGGACUGAUGGGCCCUUGGCACUGUGAGAACAGUGGAGGAGGAGGGAGCAGGGUUCAUAAGGAGGAGCACAAACAGAAAGUUCAGUGGCCCCAAUAAAAAUAACACCAGAAUCUUCCAGAUACUUUCUCCAUAAGGCGAAAAGUAGAGAUGGGGUUUCACCAUGUUGCCCAGGCUGGUCUCAAACUCCUGAGCUCAGGCCAUCUGCCCGCCUCGGCCUCCCAAAGUGCUAGGAUUACAGAAGGUGCCUGCUUCCCCUUCACCUUCCACCAUGAUUGUAAGUUUCCUGAGGCCUCCCCAGACAUGUGGAACUAGACAAGGUCUUAUUAUGUUGCCCAGGUUGGAGUGUCUAUGCAUAGGGCGCGAUCAUAGUGCACUGCAGCCUUCAACUCCUGGCCUCAAUGGAUCCUCCCGGCCUCAUCCUCCCAAGGCUAUUUAUUAUUUUGUUAUAUUGAGACAGGGUCUUGCUAUGUUGCCCAGGCUGAUCUCCAACUCCUGUCCUCAAGAAAUCCUCCUGCCUCAGCCUCCCAAAGUGCUGGGAUUACCAAUAACAGGUUUCUCUUAUUGCCUGGAUCCAAGAGCAUCUCCUGGGUUCUUCCUGUUAGAAUACUGAAUGUCCAUGGAGAGUUUAACAUAAGGAAGAAGAGGCCUGUCUCCCAGCUGAAACUGGUGCAGCAGAUCAUGCAAAGUAAAACCUCAGCAGCUGUGAUGAAGUAGAGCAGAGGGCCUGGGUGUCUGUCAGCUCCAAGCGGAAGAUUUCCCCAGCUUUCUAGGUAACUGUGCUUCCACUGAGCAAGCCAGACACAGACUUGAAUGUCAUCACAAUCUGUGCCUGUGACAUCUUUCCCCAAGAAUAGCACAAAUUGAACUUUUACAUUCUUCAUAAUAUGGAAGGAAAGGUAUUGACUGAGCCACUUCUUUAUGCCUCAAGACAUCUCAUAUGUAUUUAUAUGGAUACAUACAUGAAUGUAUAUAUUCUGUCAUAAUAACAUAUUCUAUUUUUCUUAUUAUAGCACAGUGUUAGGAUAGGCUACAUAGGCUGCAUUAAACCCUCAAAUAGAAGUUUAUAUUAUGCAUCAGAAGCCAGUGCAGGGACUCUCCUCAGCACAACAUCUCUAAGUGGUGACUUGGAGGUUCAGGCUCCUUUCAUCUUAAAAUGCCAUCAUCUUCAGCAUUUGGCCUCAACAGUUGCCAGAGAGGGAGAAGAGAGUAUGUAUAAGACCACACUGCAGGAUCUGUGUUAGGUCUGCAAGCACUGCUGUCACCUCUGCCAAAUCCCGUUAGCCAGAACCCAAUCAUAUGGCCCCAUCCUAACUGCAAGGGAAGCCUGGGAAAGGUCUUCUUGUAUGCCAGGAAAAGAAAAUGAAAUCGACAAGUAUCUAGCCAGUCUUUGCUACAAGUUUCUACAUGUUGGAAUUAUUAUCUAUAUUUUUCUUCUGAUCAUGCUUAGCAUUUGAUACUAUGUAGACUGCCUUGUUGAGUCCUGCUGUAUUUUGUGACAUCCACAUGCAGCAUCCCAUUCCUCACAACAGGACUAGGAGUGGUCAGAAGUUUUAUCACCCACUUUAUGGACGGAAACCCUGAGACCCAGAGCAGUUACAUGGCUUGUCCAAAGUUACAUAGUACUGUUAACUUAAAAACACAAUUUAUAAAUUUAGACAAAGAAAGAGGAGACUUUAUUUCUUAUAAAGGGUUAUAGCCUUCAAAGUGGCUAUCUCACAGGCUGGGAAGCUCAGCCUUCAGCAGAAGCCCAGAGACAAGCAUUUUGAAGGCAGAGGGGUUGGGAUGGAGCUUUAUGCUGAACAGGUUGACUAAAUAUACAUAUUCAACAGGUUACAGGAGGAGCUAUGAAUAUUCAUGAGGGUGGUCCUGACACAUGCGUAUUGAACAAACAUACAUGUAACACAUGACCCAUGUUCACUUUGGGAUGGAGACUUAACAUUUCAAUGUAUUACAGUUAGGCCCUACACAUCAAAAGGUCAUUUCAGGACACAAAAGCUCACAAGUACACAAUCUCUGUAAACUAGUCAGAACCAGUCCAUGGUUGGUGGUCUUAUCAGGAAAAAGUUACUAAAAUUAGUCUCUCAUCCAAUGAAAGCUGUAGUUAUGGCUGGUGGAACAGGGGUUCAGUUGGGCAGAGUCUAUGAGCAGGAUGAUUUGCAAUUGUUUAAAUAUUGCUUAUCUUGAGGCCAGUGCUUGUUUAGCUGCUGGAGAAAAAGAAAAUCCUUGUGGCAGUUAGAGCAUAGUUUCUUCCUUAGGUGUAGGAGUACAUGACUUCCCCUCACCUGGCAUGGCCUUAGGUCCUGUUUAUAAUUCGGUAUCUUAUUGCCACAAAGAAUCUGUUCUGUGAGUCAUGUGAUCUCUAUUGGAACAUUAAUGCUGCUCAGUUGUUGUGUCUAAACCAUAAAAGAGAAGGAGAGUAUAAUUAGGCAUGUCUGACCUCUCAUCAUAGCUGGGAACUAAGUCUUUAAAUUUUUUUCUGGGGUCCUCUUGGCCACAAGGGGGUCCAUUUAGUCAGUGGGGGCCUUGGGAUUUAUUUUUAGUUUACAUUGCUAAGUGACAGAGCUUUGCUUCUUUCACUCUGAGGUUAGUGGUCUCUCUGCUGUGCCACAUUGUCUUCCCCAGAAGCUCAAACUGGAUGCCCAGCCCUCAGU